GGAAUCUUCCACAAUGGACGAAAGUCUGAUGGAGCAACGCCGCGUGAGUGAAGAAGGGUUUCGGCUCGUAAAACUCUGUUGUUAAAGAAGAACAUAUCUGAGAGUAACUGUUCAGGUAUUGACGGUAUUUAACCAGAAAGCCACGGCUAACUACGUGCCAG
RNAcentral lists this ribosomal RNA (161 nucleotides) under uncultured bacterium. RNAcentral's name for it is "partial 16S ribosomal RNA". It matches the Rfam family "Bacterial small subunit ribosomal RNA", at positions 358 to 511 of the family's 1533-position model. The record is from RNAcentral.